RNAcentral lists this unclassified non-coding RNA (345 nucleotides) under soil metagenome. Its description in RNAcentral is "partial contains 5.8S ribosomal RNA, internal transcribed spacer 2, and large subunit ribosomal RNA". The stretch from base 1 to 121 matches the Rfam family "5.8S ribosomal RNA", at positions 35 to 154 of the family's 154-position model. The record is from RNAcentral.
GAUGAAGAACGUAGCGAAAUGCGAUAAGUAAUGCGAAUUGCAGAAUUUCCGUGAAUCAUCGAGUCUUUGAACGCACAUUGCGCCCCCUGGUAUUCCGGGGGGCAUGCCUGUCCGAGCGUCAUUGCUGCCCUCAAGCACGGCUUGUGUGUUGGGCCUCCGUCCUCCUCCCGGGGGACGGGCCCGAAAGGCAGCGGCGGCACCGCGUCCGGUCCUCGAGCGUAUGGGGCUUCGUCACCCGCUCUUGUAGGCCCGGCCGGCGCUUGCCGACACAUCAAUCUUUUUUCCAGGUUGACCUCGGAUCAGGUAGGGAUACCCGCUGAACUUAAGCAUAUCAUAAGCGGAGGA